CUGUUUGGGAUUUAGAAGUAGUCAGCUUUCCCAGGCUUUCAGGACCCAAAUUUCUGAACUGUAUUUCCUUUCAUUUCUGCUUGCAGACCGGCCAGUUCUUUCCUGAAGGCACCAAUGACAUCUUGCUAAAGGGGGAGAUAAAGCCAACACACAGGGUUACCGGGAUGCCAUAUUCAGUUUUCAGACAUUUUCACCAACUGCAGUUGAGGACAACCGUGUGUGGGUGUCAACCAUGAUGUUGCUUUUCGAUUUGACUCCCUCUACUUCCUGCCAAGGAGUUUCUUUCUACGAGAAGGUUUGGGUUUGGCCAGAUGACACUUGGAAGCUGACCUCAGAAGGCUCUGUUUGGAAGGCUGGUUGAUGAGUAUCUGGGGAGCGCCCCAGGAGAAGGGUCAGCUAAUGGCAAUAUCGGAAGAGUGUCUACUUCUGGAUGGUACUUCUAGCUUCUUUGAGAUCGAAAGAUAAGUGUCUGUUGUUAUGAACUCACUGUCUCGGGGCACCUUGGUCCCUCUCUCUCUCUCUCUCUCUUUUUUAAGUUUUUAAAAAUUGAUGGCGGUGCCGUGCAGCUUAAGGAUCUUAGUUCCCUGACCAGGGAUGGAACCCAUGGCCUCGGCAGUGAGAGCACGGAGUCCUAACCACUGGACCGCCAGGGAGUUCCCCCUCUGUCUUCUCCACCAGCCUCUUGACCUCACUGAACUCCACUCCCUUUUUCUCAUGUUGGAUCCGAAGCAGGUGCUCAUUUAGACAUGGCUCCACUCACAGACGAACCGCUCUCAAGAUCAUCAGCCAGCUUCCGGGAAGGGGGCCCCACCCCAGGGGGCCCCACCCCAUUCCCGACCUCACCGUUGGGUACUGCCCCGUUAGGCACGCCACCAUUAUCGCUUGCGAGAGUGAAACAAGAGUGAGAGCAAACAAGGAACUGAGAGGGGUUUGUCCAGCUGAAGGCAUGAUGUCCCUCAGCUUCGCAGGCCCGCCACCCUCUCCAUGUGGGUGAAGACCUUCGUAGACAAGAGGAGGGGCAUUGCAGCUGCUCUCCUCCUACCUGUACACUGCUGGAGUCCCGGACAGUCCCCUGCUUCUUACUGUGCCCCUGCCAUGGGUUGAACUGCAUCGCCCUAAAAGGAGAAGAGACAUGGAAACACACACACACAGGGAAGACAGCCAUGUGAGGAUGGAGGUGGAGUGUGGAGCGAUGCUGCCACAAGCCCAGGGCUGCCUGGGGACACCAGGAGCUGGAAAAGGCAAGGAAUCCUUCUCCCCUAGAGACUUUGGAGGGAGCGAGACCUUUGAUCUUUUUUCUGUUUUCGGCCACACAGCCUGUGGGAUUUUAGUUCCCUGACCAGGGAUUGAACCUGUGCCCCCUGCAGUGGAAGCACGGAGCCCUAACCACUGGACUGCCAGGGAAUUCCCUCAACACCUUGAUUUUGGACUUCUAGCCUCCAGAACUGUGAGACAAUAAAUUUCUGUCGUUUUAAGCCGCCCAGUUUGUGGUACUUUACUAUGGCAGGCUGAAGAAGCUAAUACACGUCCUAUAAUCACUUUUUAUGCACAACGGCCAGAGGAACCUUUGCAACUUAAGUCAGAUUGUGCCCUUUCUCUGCAUAAAAACCUCUUUUGAUUUUCCUCUGAUUUUAUGAUGAAAUCCAAGCUCUUUGCCAGGCGCAAUGAGGCCUUACACAUCUGGCCCUGAUGAUUUCUGGUCUCACCUCCUACCCCCACCUCUGUUCCUCCUGUUUGUUUCUGGAACAGGGUUGCUGACUCUUUCCACUCACUGGGUCUAUGACCCUGAAGGAAUGAGUUGGAGUCACUAACCUCACCCCGAGUAUUGCUUCAUUUCCUCCAGAUCACAUAUCCCGACGUCGCAUUUCUGUACUAGCUCGUCAUUGGUCCCAGUCCCUCUAUGGUGAAGGUCGUGAGGUCUGAGCUCACCACGUUGCCAUGUCCUGUGUCCAGAACAGUGCUGGGCACAGCUAGAGUGGGAGCUUCAUAUAUAUUUGAAUGAGCAGUCAAGCCUCAUCCAAGGAGAGGCCCAAAGACAUCUCAACACACCUAAUGACUGAGAGGUCACAUUUUGGCAUCAGAGUGUCCUGGAAAUGUUCUAGAUGCGAGCAUACAUAUUUGUUGCUUGAAUGAUACGUUGGAUGUGUGAUGGCGUUUUUGGAAAAUAAGGGAAUGAUGAAGACCGUACUUCCUUUAGAAGUUGUUGAUUGGUCAAAAUCAAACUUCUGAUUUAAGUGAUUUUGAAUGAUAAAUUCGAGAAGAAGUAAUGAUGAAUUAGAAACUGACCAUGAAAAAACGAAUAUUUCAGCUGGAAGAUAGCGGUUUCAGCAGGAGUAGUUCUGCUUGAUUUGAACCCUGUUUUUAGCAAUCGCGAGGUUACUGUAGCUCUGAAUGGAAUUCUCACUGUGACGUGAGCAUGUGUCUUUUUCCAGACCCACAAAUUAUGCUCUGUACCCCAAACAGGAGGGUAAGGAAAGUUCUGGGAACUCAGGCAAUGCUGCCUCGGCCCUGCUCAGCUUUUGAAAGUCCCCCCAGCCUGGAGCUGAUGUACUUGGGCCACACUUCACCUUCGUCUUCGCUGGAGUUUCCUCCUGACUUUGGUGAUUUCCUGGGUCUCUUGAGUUACCACAGCUCUUGCUGCAGGACCCACCACAGCAGGGCUCCCAUACUGCGAAACACCCAAGGCUCAAAGGAUUUCAUUUCAAUGAAAGAGGCUCCUUUUCUGUUUUCAUCCAGUGACCAAGGUGAACACAUGGGCCGUUAGCUCCAUUUUCGGAGGAGUUUUCAUAUCAUGCUUUAAAAAUCACGAAUGAAGUCAGUGCCUCCAUGGUACCUGGAAGCUUGCGUCCAGCAGCGUUCUUGUUUUCUCACUUGGAUGGGAAAGAGCUGUGGAGGUACCGUCCUCCCGGGAGUUCCGGAGUCUGAAAACAGAGGCCUUGGGUUGUAUGAAAAGGUCUCUAUUCUUUCUUUAAAUAUUCACAGAGUCCCACGCCAGGAAACAAAACAAGAUUGCUUUAUCAGUCACCCAACAGUGAGAGAGGAAAGCCGCCCACUUCUCCACGCUUCCUUUCAAAGUGACCUCAGUGACCCUGAUGGAUUCAUGGAAUUAAUUAGAAACAACAGUAAGGAUGCCGUGGGAUGGGCGAUUUUGUCACUAGACAACGUUUCGGAACUUCCCUGAAGAGCCUCUGCUGCCUCCGACCCACCUCACUGCCCACGCACCCACCCUGUGAUGCAGACCCUCUCGGGAGGGGCUCAGACCACCUUCCCCCUUGUUGCCGCCUUCCACGUGGGCCCUCCCGGGUCCCACAAACCCACCCGACAGGCUGCCGCUCCACUCAGGCAUCUGUAGGGGUCUGAGCUUAGUCAAGCCCUGCGGCCCCCUAAGCUCUCGCCCUGACCGCAGACCCUCACUGGGUCAAGGGUGGUUGACCAGCUCAAGACUCAGUUCCCCACAGAGGCCACGUCCUGUGAGGAAAAGGAAGAGAUGGAAACCUAGCUCUCAAGGGUCUGCUCAGGGCCAGGCACUGUGCUGGGAGGACUCUUACUCCUGUGUGAUCUCAUUUCAUCAUCAAAUAUGCAGGAGAAUCCACUGGGAAGCAGAGGAUCGCCAGACGUGCACAGACACAGGAAGGGCUGCCUUCCUCUGCUUCGGCAGCCACCGAGGAGGACACACUCCCGGACACCCCCUGCAAAGGCCACAGGCCCUGCUGCAUCCACACGUCAGGAAUAGCACCCCAGGUCAGUGACAAAGAAAUGCAACCACGCUAAUUGUGGGGAUGACCCCUGGCAGACGUCACUGGCCGCGGUCUCUGGCGAGUGAUCGGUCAUGAGCCGUGCGUGGCUAACUCAGCUUUGGACGCAGAGAUAUAAGGUUAUCAGCCAACUACAACCCCAUGAAACUUGCCACUGGCAGUUCAGAUGCUUAUUUUCAGAAGCACAAGAAUGAAAACUUGAACAGCAGUUCUCUCCUGGAGGAAAAAGAGCUCUGCCUGCCACCCCCUUACUCCGUGACCUUGGGCAGCCCAGAUCCUUACUGUGUGUUAGCUCCUUCCAGCCCUUGAAGGGCUUGGAUGGCUUCACUCUAAAGUUCUACUUGGUUCUAAAACUCCCCAGUUCUGGGAAAGGGAUGGACUGGGAGUUUGGGGUUGGUAGAUGCAAACGAUUACAUUUAGCAUGGAUAAACAACAAGGUCCUAAUGCAUAGCACAGGGAACUAUGUUCAAUAUCCUGUGAUAAACCAUAGUGGAAAAGAAUAUAAAAAAAGAAUGUAUAUCUAUGUAUAACUGAGUCACUUUGCUGUACAGCAGAGAUUGA
Long non-coding RNA from Lagenorhynchus albirostris (white-beaked dolphin), 4316 nucleotides. RefSeq lists it as uncharacterized. The record is from RefSeq and is a predicted model, not a curated record. NCBI's taxonomy places the organism in Eukaryota, Metazoa, Chordata, Mammalia, Artiodactyla, Delphinidae. The transcript is spliced from 11 exons.